AAUGAUGGUAGAGGUGCGAACUUCAAGAGUAGCCCUUCCGAGGAAAAUGGAAUCCUUUGAAGAUGGGUGAAAGGGGAGAGUCGCCGAAGCAAAAAAAAGAGCCAUUUCUUUCUUUUGCUGGUUUUACGUUUAAUAGACGUAAAAUUGUCAAGAAGAUGUAUUUUUCUUGGAGCGCUAUCUCAUUG
Molecule: non-coding RNA, 185 nt
Filed under: Bacillus sp. (in: firmicutes)
Lineage: Bacteria; Bacillati; Bacillota; Bacilli; Caryophanales; Bacillaceae
Description: Bacillus sp. Lysine sequence
Rfam family: Lysine riboswitch aptamer
About the family: Riboswitches are metabolite binding domains within certain messenger RNAs that serve as precision sensors for their corresponding targets. Allosteric rearrangement of mRNA structure is mediated by ligand binding, and this results in modulation of gene expression.
Source: RNAcentral